UGGUUCUGGCAUCGAUGAAGAACGCAGCGAAAUGCGAUAAGUAAUGUGAAUUGCAGAAUUCCGCGAAUCAUCGAAUCUUUGAACGCACAUUGCGCCCGUUAGUAUUCUAGCGGGCAUGCCUGUUCGAGCGUCAUUUCGACCUUCAGAGCCCCUGUGACUUCUGGUGUUGAGGCGCUACGGCCGCUGUCGCCGUAGGCCUUGAAAGACCGCUGGCGGACCCGGCCCGCGCCGAGCGUAGUACUACAUCCUCGCUCUGGUGUCGCGGCGACGCGUCUUGCCACUAAACCCGUCGGCUGUAGCGGACGCCCCAGCGCGCCCCGCGGCUGCACGCCUCCACGGUUGACCUCGGAUCAGGUAGGAAUACCCGCUGA
Molecule: unclassified non-coding RNA, 371 nt
Filed under: uncultured fungus
Lineage: Eukaryota; Fungi
Description: partial contains 5.8S ribosomal RNA and internal transcribed spacer 2
Rfam family: 5.8S ribosomal RNA (bases 1-133)
Source: RNAcentral